GACGGAUGGGCAUGCGGCGCAUUAGGUAGUUGGUAGGGUAACGGCCUACCAAGCCGACGAUGCGUAGGGGUUCUGAGAGGAAGGUCCCCCACAUUGGAACUGAGACACGGUCCAAACUCCUACGGGAGGCAGCAGUGAGGAAUAUUGGUCAAUGGCCGGAAGGCUGAACCAGCCAAGUCGCGUGAGGGAAUAAGGCCCUAUGGGUCGUAAACCUCUUUUGUCAGGGAGCAAAGGCGUCCACGUGUGGACGAGAGGAGAGUACCUGAAGAAAAAGCAUCGGCUAACUCCGUGCCAGCAGCCGCGGUAAUACGGAGGAUGCGAGCGUUAUCCGGAUUUAUUGGGUUUAAAGGGUGCGUAGGCGGAGUGUCAAGUCAGCGGUAAAAUUUCGGGGCUCAACCCCGUCGUGCCGUUGAAACUGACACCCUUGAGUGAGUGAGAAGUAAGCGGAAUGCGUGGUGUAGCGGUGAAAUGCAUAGAUAUCACGCAGAACGCCGAUUGCGAAGGCAGCUUACCGGCGCUCAACUGACGCUGAGGCACGAAAGUGCGGGUAUCGAACAGGAUUAGAUACCCUGGUAGUCCGCACAGUAAACGAUGAAUGCUAGAUGUCCGGGGCGAAUGAGCUCUGG
RNAcentral lists this ribosomal RNA (626 nucleotides) under uncultured bacterium. RNAcentral's name for it is "bacterial SSU rRNA". It matches the Rfam family "Bacterial small subunit ribosomal RNA", at positions 220 to 842 of the family's 1533-position model. The record is from RNAcentral.